CCUACGUGAGGCAGCAGUGGGGAAUAUUGCGCAAUGGGCGAAAGCCUGACGCAGCGACGCCGCGUGAGGGAUGAAGGUCUUCGGAUCGUAAACCUCUGUCAGCAGGGAAGAACGGUCACUGUGCUAAUCAGCAGUGAAUUGACGGUACCUGCAAAGGAAGCACCGGCUAACUCCGUGCCAGCAGCCGCGGUAAUACGGAGGGUGCGAGCGUUAAUCGGAAUUACUGGGCGUAAAGCGCUCGUAGGCGGUAUGUCAAGUCAAGGGUGAAAUCCCCGCGCUCAACGUGGGAACUGCCUUUGAAACUGGCAAACUGGAGUGUGUGAGAGGAUAGUGGAAUGCCAGGUGUAGGAGUGAAAUCCGUAGAGAUCUGGAGGAACAUCAGUGGCGAAGGCGACUAUCUGGCACAUAACUGACGCUGAGGAGCGAAAGCGUGGGUAGCAAACAGGAUUAGAUACCCGGGUAGUC
This 465-nucleotide ribosomal RNA is filed under the name uncultured bacterium. Its description in RNAcentral is "partial 16S ribosomal RNA". It matches the Rfam family "Bacterial small subunit ribosomal RNA", at positions 338 to 795 of the family's 1533-position model. The record is from RNAcentral.